RNAcentral lists this ribosomal RNA (471 nucleotides) under Polynucleobacter sp. Fw70s-77. Its description in RNAcentral is "bacterial SSU rRNA". It matches the Rfam family "Bacterial small subunit ribosomal RNA", at positions 30 to 494 of the family's 1533-position model. Lineage: Bacteria; Pseudomonadati; Pseudomonadota; Betaproteobacteria; Burkholderiales; Burkholderiaceae. The record is from RNAcentral.
AUUGAACGCUGGCGGAAUGCUUUACACAUGCAAGUCGAACGGCAGCACGGGGGCAACCCUGGUGGCGAGUGGCGAACGGGUGAGUAAUAUAUCGGAACGUGCCCAGUCGUGGGGGAUAACGUAGCGAAAGUUACGCUAAUACCGCAUACGAUCUAAGGAUGAAAGCGGGGGAUCGCAAGACCUCGCGCGAUUGGAGCGGCCGAUAUCAGAUUAGGUAGUUGGUGGGGUAAAGGCUCACCAAGCCAACGAUCUGUAGCUGGUCUGAGAGGACGACCAGCCACACUGGGACUGAGACACGGCCCAGACUCCUACGGGAGGCAGCAGUGGGGAAUUUUGGACAAUGGGCGCAAGCCUGAUCCAGCCAUUCCGCGUGCAGGACGAAGGCCUUCGGGUUGUAAACUGCUUUUGUACGGAACGAAAAAGCUCUUGUUAAUACCAAGAGUCCAUGACGGUACCGUAAGAAUAAGCACG